CACAGGUUACAAAUAAUAAUAUUCGAUAAUAUUGUUAGAGGACGAUAAUACUAAAACAAAUUUCGAUUAGGGUGAAAUGAUAAAAAUCCAUGACAGGAAAAUUUCAUCAAAAUGAAAUUUGAAACUGCUACCAGUAAUAAUAGUAAUACUGCUACCCAUAAUAUUUAGUAAGUGAAAUAAAUUUUUAUUUAGGACUCAUUUCAUUAGUUGCAUAAACAUUCGCAAUCGACUUUACCAUCAUAUGUCAUAUUUCAGAGACAUACUCACUAUUGUUUUAUUAUUUGUGCUGACGUUUGCCAAGAACCUGACAUCAGUAGAAUUUUCAAUAUACCUCGACCAUUCUGCUUUUAACAUUUUAGAGAAAAUAGUAACAACUGAUGGUCAAAAUUUUCCAUUCUUGUAAUCGAUUUAAGGUACAUGUUUCUUAAUAAUUCUGACUACAGAUGUCAGCAAUGUACAAUAAUACAGAUAAUAGAAAAUAGCAGCGUUGCCUGUUUAUUUUGUACAUUUGUUAUUUAUACAUUAUUAAUUUGUACAUUAUAUUAGCAAAUUGUGCGAGGACAAUUACAAAUCUUAGAAAAGGUAUUAGACUAUUCAUUCAAAUUGAUAAAAUAAUAUUCGAUGUAGAGAUUCGGAUAAAAUCUUACAUUUACAUGUUAAAAUAACUCCUGCUUGUUAUAUAUAAAUCUUUCCCGUGCUACGCGAUAUGAUAUAAUUGAUGAGCUUUUAUUGGCAUUCUGUAUCAUGUUCUCUGUUUUCUUUAAUAAAUUCUCGUAAAAGAUAGAUUGAUAUUCGAUGUGUUAAGAAACGUAUUUUUGACAUUUUAUUUAUAUAGGUAGGUAUAUGUUUGUCGUGUCAUGUAUAGUAUAGGUGUAGGUGUCAUUAUUUUACAAAAUUGUUUAGUGUUUUCUAGUGUGUGCAUGCUAGUGUGUAGGUAAACUGUUUGUGAAUGUAACGUGUGUACAUAAUACGUUAUGUGUGAUUAUAACGUAGCGUGUAGUGUAUUUAAGUGUUUGCUUUCGACUAAUAGUUAUAGUUUAUCGACAGGACUUCGCAUUUACGUAUACAAGAGUACAACGACGUUUCAGUAUCAUAUCCUAGGGAAAAAUGGGUCACUACAUUAUCGCAGUGUAUCUAGGAUACAUUUUCGUAGACAUUCGAUGAGAAAGCAAU
Long non-coding RNA from Bombus pyrosoma, 1173 nucleotides. RefSeq lists it as uncharacterized. The transcript has 2 exons. The record is from RefSeq and is a predicted model, not a curated record. Lineage: Eukaryota; Metazoa; Arthropoda; Insecta; Hymenoptera; Apidae.